Molecule: transfer RNA, 104 nt
Filed under: Pseudomonas proteolytica
Lineage: Bacteria; Pseudomonadati; Pseudomonadota; Gammaproteobacteria; Pseudomonadales; Pseudomonadaceae
Also listed under: 1 other name
Description: tRNA-Ser
Source: RNAcentral
GGAAAUGAUAAAAGGUUAACUUGCUGUAUUUAAAGAAAAAAUCGCCAGUCUUGAAAACCGGCGAACGUUAAUAGCGUUCCCAGGGUUCGAAUCCCUGGUUUCCC